RNAcentral lists this transfer RNA (86 nucleotides) under Phycisphaeraceae bacterium. Its description in RNAcentral is "tRNA-Leu". It matches the Rfam family "tRNA". From Rfam's summary of the family: Transfer RNA (tRNA) molecules are approximately 80 nucleotides in length. Their secondary structure includes four short double-helical elements and three loops (D, anti-codon, and T loops). Lineage: Bacteria; Pseudomonadati; Planctomycetota; Phycisphaerae; Phycisphaerales; Phycisphaeraceae. The record is from RNAcentral.
GCCCGGGUGGCGGAAUUGGCAGACGCGCCUGGUUGAGGGCCAGGUGGGAGUUAAAUCCCGUGGAGGUUCGAGUCCUCUCCCGGGCA